This 512-nucleotide ribosomal RNA is filed under the name Parnassius apollo merzbacheri. Its description in RNAcentral is "partial 16S ribosomal RNA". The stretch from base 385 to 512 matches the Rfam family "Bacterial large subunit ribosomal RNA", at positions 2473 to 2600 of the family's 2925-position model. The record is from RNAcentral. Lineage: Eukaryota; Metazoa; Arthropoda; Insecta; Lepidoptera; Papilionidae.
UUUUUGAUUAAUAAUUUAAAGUCUAAUCUGCCCACUGAUAAUAAAUUAAAGGGCUGCAGUAUUUUGACUGUACAAAGGUAGCAUAAUCAUUAGUCUCUUAAUUGGUGACUUGUAUGAAGGAUUUGAUGAAAUAUAUACUGUCUCUUUUUAAUUUAUAAAAUUUAAUUUUUUAGUUAAAAAGCUAAAAUGUAUUUAAAAGACGAGAAGACCCUAUAGAGUUUUAUAUUCAUAUAAAUUAAAAUUUUUUAUAAGAUUUAAAAUUUUAAUUUAUAUAAAUAUUUUGUUGGGGUGAUAGAAAAAUUAAAAUAACUUUUUUUAUAAUUUUACAUUAAUAAAUGAAUAAAUGAUCCGUAAUUUACGAUUAUAAGAUAAAAUUACCUUAGGGAUAACAGCGUAAUUUUUUUUUUUAGUUCAAAUAAGAAAAAAAGUUUGCGACCUCGAUGUUGGAUUAAGAUAAAAUUUAAAUGCAAAAGUUUAAAAUUUUUGAUCUGUUCGAUCAUUAAAAUCUUACA